This 456-nucleotide ribosomal RNA is filed under the name Veillonella parvula. RNAcentral describes it as "bacterial SSU rRNA". It matches the Rfam family "Bacterial small subunit ribosomal RNA", at positions 28 to 460 of the family's 1533-position model. The record is from RNAcentral. Lineage: Bacteria; Bacillati; Bacillota; Negativicutes; Veillonellales; Veillonellaceae.
GACGAACGCUGGCGGCGUGCUUAACACAUGCAAGUCGAACGAAGAGCGAUGGAAGCUUGCUUCUAUCAAUCUUAGUGGCGAACGGGUGAGUAACGCGUAAUCAACCUGCCCUUCAGAGGGGGACAACAGUUGGAAACGACUGCUAAUACCGCAUACGAUCUAAUCUCGGCAUCGAGGAUAGAUGAAAGGUGGCCUCUACAUGUAAGCUAUCACUGAAGGAGGGGAUUGCGUCUGAUUAGCUAGUUGGAGGGGUAACGGCCCACCAAGGCGAUGAUCAGUAGCCGGUCUGAGAGGAUGAACGGCCACAUUGGGACUGAGACACGGCCCAGACUCCUACGGGAGGCAGCAGUGGGGAAUCUUCCGCAAUGGACGAAAGUCUGACGGAGCAACGCCGCGUGAGCGAUGACGGCCUUCGGGUUGUAAAGCUCUGUUAAUCGGGGACGAAAAGGGCCUUUC